ACUCCUACGGGAGGCAGCAGUGGGGAAUAUUGGACAAUGGGGGCAACCCUGAUCCAGCCAUGCCGCGUGUGUGAAGAAGGUCAUAAGAUUGUAAAGCACUUUAAGCAGGGAGGAAGAGCCAGUGGAGAAACACACUGGUGGUGACGUUACCUGCAGAAUAAGCACCGGCUAACUCUGUGCCAGCAGCCGCGGUAAUACAGAGGGUGCGAGCGUUAAUUCGGAAUUACUGGGCGUAAAGCGGGUGCAGGUGGUGCACUAAGUCAUAUGUGAAAGCCCUGGGCUUAACCUAGGAACAGCAUAUGAUACUGGUGAACUAGAGUAUAUGAGAGGGAAGUAGAAUUCCAGGUGUAGCGGUGAAAUGCGUAGAGAUCUGGAGGAAUACCGAUGGCGAAGGCAGCUUUCUGGCACAAUACUGACACUCAGACCCGAAAGCGUGGGUAGCAAUCAGGAUUAGAUACCCUGGUAGGAUAGCGU
Molecule: ribosomal RNA, 474 nt
Filed under: uncultured bacterium
Lineage: Bacteria
Description: bacterial SSU rRNA
Rfam family: Bacterial small subunit ribosomal RNA
Source: RNAcentral